AGCGAACGCUGGCGGCAGGCUUAACACAUGCAAGUCGAGCGGGCGCACCGGGGGCAGCGGCGCACGCGGGAGUAAAGCGGGGGAACGUGGCUUCUUGCCUGGAAAAACACUUGGAAACGAGGGCUAACAUCGGGAACGUUCCUUUGGGGCAAGGUAUACUGCCCGAAGAACGGCCCGCGUCUUUUUAGCUUGGUGGGGGUGUAACGGCCUACCACGGCGACGCUCGGUAGCGGGUCUGAGAGGCUGAUCCGCCACACUGGGACUGUGACACGGGCCAGACUCCUACGGGAGGCAGCAGUGGGGGAUAUUGGCCUAUGGGCGCAAGCCUGAUCCAGCCAUGCCGCGUGAGUGAUGAAGGCCUUAGGGUUGUAAAGCUCUUUUAUCCGGGACGAUAAUGACGGUACCGGAAGAAUAAGCCCCGGCUAACUUCGUG
This 433-nucleotide ribosomal RNA is filed under the name uncultured bacterium. RNAcentral describes it as "partial 16S ribosomal RNA". It matches the Rfam family "Bacterial small subunit ribosomal RNA", at positions 28 to 507 of the family's 1533-position model. The record is from RNAcentral.